This 497-nucleotide ribosomal RNA is filed under the name uncultured bacterium. Its description in RNAcentral is "partial 16S ribosomal RNA". It matches the Rfam family "Bacterial small subunit ribosomal RNA", at positions 28 to 507 of the family's 1533-position model. The record is from RNAcentral.
GAUGAACGCUGGCGGCGUGCCUAAUACAUGCAAGUCGAGCGAACGGACGAGAAGCUUGCUUCUCUGAUGUUAGCGGCGGACGGGUGAGUAACACGUGGAUAACCUACCUAUAAGACUGGGAUAACUUCGGGAAACCGGAGCUAAUACCGGAUAAUAUUUUGAACCGCAUGGUUCAAAAGUGAAAGACGGUCUUGCUGUCACUUAUAGAUGGAUCCGCGCUGCAUUAGCUAGUUGGUAAGGUAACGGCUUACCAAGGCAACGAUGCAUAGCCGACCUGAGAGGGUGAUAGGCCACACUGGAACUGAGACACGGUCCAGACUCCUACGGGAGGCAGCAGUAGGGAAUCUUACGCAAUGGGCGAAAGCCUGACGGAGCAACGCCGCGUGAGUGAUGAAGGUCUUCGGAUCGUAAAACUCUGUUAUUAGGGAAGAACAUAUGUGUAAGUAACUGUGCACAUCUUGACGGUACCUAAUCAGAAAGCCACGGCUAACUACGUG